GAAACAUCAAGCCCUGAUGCACUGACUGCUGAGAUUUAAUUGCUCAUGUUUUGGCAAUCUGCUCUUGAGAGAUACUAGUAACAGUUGAUACUGACACUCCCAGGGUCACAGGCUGAACUUAUAAGCAAGCUGUAAAUAACAGUGAUCGGCAGCCGCCGCCUUCUACCCUCUGUGCCAUGCUGUCCUCCACGAGACCUAGUUCUGAGAUGAUAGAAGAGCAGGAAGCCAUCUGAUUUUAUGGACACUGCCUAUUACU
This is a long non-coding RNA of Vombatus ursinus (common wombat), 256 nucleotides long. RefSeq lists it as uncharacterized. The transcript has 3 exons. Lineage: Eukaryota; Metazoa; Chordata; Mammalia; Diprotodontia; Vombatidae. The record is from RefSeq and is a predicted model, not a curated record.